UGGAGCAUAUUCUUGAUGUCUG
RNAcentral lists this non-coding RNA (22 nucleotides) under Arabidopsis thaliana (thale cress). Lineage: Eukaryota; Viridiplantae; Streptophyta; Magnoliopsida; Brassicales; Brassicaceae. The record is from RNAcentral.